RNAcentral lists this long non-coding RNA (548 nucleotides) under Homo sapiens (human). RNAcentral describes it as "non-protein coding lnc-ANKRD36C-4:1". Lineage: Eukaryota; Metazoa; Chordata; Mammalia; Primates; Hominidae. The record is from RNAcentral.
GAGCAGUCCACGCCUUGUGGCGGCUUUGCGGAGCUGCUGCUUUGGCGGGAGUUGGAAGCUGGUGUGAGGUGAGAGGCGCGGUGGUCGCUCCCCGGCGAGGCCAGGUUUCUGUGGGGAGAAGGAGAGUGCCAGAGGUGACUGGUUCAUGGUUCUUCUAGGCUCUCAUGGCCACCAUGUUGGAAGGCAGAUGCCAAACUCAGCCAAGGAGCAGCCCCAGUGGCCGAGAGGCUAGCCUGUGGUCGUCAGGCUUUGGGAUGAAGCUGGAGGCUGUCACUCCAUUCCUGGGGAAGUAUCGCCCCUUUGUGGGUCGCUGUUGCCAGACCUGCACCCCCAAGAGCUGGGAGUCCCUCUUCCACAGAAGCAUAACGGACCUAGGCUUCUGCAAUGUGAUCCUGGUGAAGGAGGAGAACACAAGCCUUCUGUGAGUCCUAGUGGAGGUGGGCCCUCUCUGAAGGAUCUUCCCUCCUGCUCUGGGAGCUGUGCCCAGGUUUCGGGGCUGGCUGGUUCGGAGGCUCUGCUAUUUCCUGUGGUCCCUGGAGCAGCACAUC